GAUGAACGCUGGCGGUAUGCUUAACACAUGCAAGUCGAACGGUCACUUCGGUGAUAGUGGCGGACGGGUGAGUAACGCGUGAGAAUCUGUCUUCAGGUCGGGGACAACAGUUAGAAAUGACUGCUAAUACCGGAUGUGCCUUUGGGUGAAAGAUUUAUUGCCUGAAAAAGAGCUCGCGUCAGAUUAGCUAGUAGGUGGUGUAAGAGACUACCUAGGCUCCGAUCUGUAGCUGGUCUGAGAGGACGAUCAGCCACACGGGAACUGAGACACGGUCCAGACUCCUACGGGAGGCAGCAGUGGGGAAUUUUCCGCAAUGGGCGAAAGCCUGACGGAGCAAUACCGCGUGAGGGACGAAGGCUUUUGGGUCGUAAACCUCUUUUCUCAAGGAAGAUGAUGACGGUACUUGAGGAAUAAGCAUCGGCUAACUCUGUG
Molecule: ribosomal RNA, 432 nt
Filed under: uncultured bacterium
Lineage: Bacteria
Description: partial 16S ribosomal RNA
Rfam family: Bacterial small subunit ribosomal RNA
Source: RNAcentral